This 929-nucleotide ribosomal RNA is filed under the name Salmonella enterica. RNAcentral's name for it is "partial 23S ribosomal RNA". It matches the Rfam family "Bacterial large subunit ribosomal RNA", at positions 711 to 1556 of the family's 2925-position model. Lineage: Bacteria; Pseudomonadati; Pseudomonadota; Gammaproteobacteria; Enterobacterales; Enterobacteriaceae. The record is from RNAcentral.
AGACCCGAAACCCGGUGAUCUAGCCAUGGGCAGGUUGAAGGUUGGGUAACACUAACUGGAGGACCGAACCGACUAAUGUUGAAAAAUUAGCGGAUGACCUGUGGCUGGGGGUGAAAGGCCAAUCAAACCGGGAGAUAGCUGGUUCUCCCCGAAAGCUAUUUAGGUAGCGCCUCGUGAAUUCAUCUCCGGGGGUAGAGCACUGUUUCGGCUAGGGGGCCAUCCCGGCUUACCAACCCGAUGCAAACUGCGAAUACCGGAGAAUGUUAUCACGGGAGACACACGGCGGGUGCUAACGUCCGUCGUGAAGAGGGAAACAACCCAGACCGCCAGCUAAGGUCCCAAAGUCAUGGUUAAGUGGGAAACGAUGUGGGAAGGCCCAGACAGCCAGGAUGUUGGCUUAGAAGCAGCCAUCAUUUAAAGAAAGCGUAAUAGCUCACUGGUCGAGUCGGCCUGCGCGGAAGAUGUAACGGGGCUAAACCAUGCACCGAAGCUGCGGCAGCGAACGUAUCACCCAAGACAACUUUGCGGAGUUGACGAUUGACGGAGCGAAGCGACGUCAAAGCGUUCAUUAAAGUCGAGUUGGCUUAGGGAUACGUUCGUUGGGUAGGGGAGCGUUCUGUAAGCCAGUGAAGGUGUGUCGUGAGGCAUGCUGGAGGUAUCAGAAGUGCGAAUGCUGACAUAAGUAACGAUAAAGCGGGUGAAAAGCCCGCUCGCCGGAAGACCAAGGGUUCCUGUCCAACGUUAAUCGGGGCAGGGUGAGUCGACCCCUAAGGCGAGGCCGAAAGGCGUAGUCGAUGGGAAACGGGUUAAUAUUCCCGUACUUGGUGUUACUGCGAAGGGGGGACGGAGAAGGCUAUGUUGGCCGGGCGACGGUUGUCCCGGUUUAAGCGUGUAGGCUGGUUUUCCAGGCAAAUCCGGAAAAUCAAGGC